RNAcentral lists this ribosomal RNA (253 nucleotides) under uncultured bacterium. RNAcentral describes it as "partial 16S ribosomal RNA". It matches the Rfam family "Bacterial small subunit ribosomal RNA", at positions 524 to 776 of the family's 1533-position model. The record is from RNAcentral.
UACGAAAGGUGCAAGCGUUAAUCGGAAUUACUGGGCGUAAAGCGCGCGUAGGCGGUGUGUUAAGUCGGAUGUGAAAGCCCAGGGCUCAACCUUGGAACUGCAUCCGAUACUGGCACGCUAGAGUGCAGUAGAGGGAGGUGGAAUUUCCGGUGUAGCGGUGAAAUGCGUAGAGAUCGGAAGGAACACCAGUGGCGAAGGCGGCCUCCUGGACUGACACUGACGCUGAGGUGCGAAAGCGUGGGGAGCAAACAGG